Molecule: unclassified non-coding RNA, 442 nt
Filed under: Hevea brasiliensis (rubber tree)
Lineage: Eukaryota; Viridiplantae; Streptophyta; Magnoliopsida; Malpighiales; Euphorbiaceae
Source: RNAcentral
CAGCAUCUUGACUUUUUUUUACCCAAUAUAGCUCGACCAUACAAAUAGUUUAGGUGAUUCAAACUUGUUUUACCUAACAGAAGUUAUUGUCCUGCAACCAGAAAUACAGUGCUUGCUAGUAUGGAAAUGUUAGUGUAUACACAAACAUGCCAAAACUAAUAGCUGGCUUUAUAUUAUAUAAGCAUGAAGCAUUGUUAGUUUUAUCAUUUAUAGCUAGUCAAUGCACCUAGGAAAAUAAUUUAGGUCAUAAGCAGGUGUGUUCAUUGUCCUUCCUUUCGAAUACCAAGGCUUAGGCUGUAAUUUAAUCAACACAAAUUACACCACAACCAUAUGCUUCAUUGUUGAACAUCAAUUUCAAAGUUCUUCAAACAUCUAAAGAACACAAGUAUUGUUGGGUUUUUUGCAAAACAAAACUAGGCAAUAUACUGUGAUCAUUGCAACU